RNAcentral lists this ribosomal RNA (1038 nucleotides) under uncultured bacterium. Its description in RNAcentral is "bacterial SSU rRNA". It matches the Rfam family "Bacterial small subunit ribosomal RNA", at positions 336 to 1393 of the family's 1533-position model. The record is from RNAcentral.
CUCCUACGGGAGGCAGCAGUGGGGAAUAUUGCACAAUGGGGGAAACCCUGAUGCAGCAACGCCGCGUGAAGGAUGACGGUUUUCGGAUUGUAAACUUCUUUUCUUAGUGACGAAGACAGUGACGGUAGCUAAGGAAUAAGCAUCGGCUAACUACGUGCCAGCAGCCGCGGUAAUACGUAGGAUGCAAGCGUUAUCCGGAUUUACUGGGUGUAAAGGGAGCGCAGGCGGGACUGCAAGUUGGAUGUGAAAUACCGUGGCUUAACCACGGAACUGCAUCCAAAACUGUAGUUCUUGAGUGAAGUAGAGGCAAGCGGAAUUCCGAGUGUAGCGGUGAAAUGCGUAGAUAUUCGGAGGAACACCAGUGGCGAAGGCGGCUUGCUGGGCUUUAACUGACGCUGAGGCUCGAAAGUGUGGGGAGCAAACAGGAUUAGAUACCCUGGUAGUCCACACUGUAAACGAUGAUAGCUAGGUGUGGGGGGUCUGACCCCUUCCGUGCCGGAGUUAACGCAAUAAGCUAUCCACCUGGGGAGUACGACCGCAAGGUUGAAACUCAAAGGAAUUGACGGGGGCCCGCACAAGCAGUGGAUUAUGUGGUUUAAUUCGAAGCAACGCGAAGAACCUUACCAGGUCUUGACAUCCGACUAACGAGAUAGAGAUAUGUCAGGUGCCCUUCGGGGAAAGUCGAGACAGGUGGUGCAUGGUUGUCGUCAGCUCGUGUCGUGAGAUGUUGGGUUAAGUCCCGCAACGAGCGCAACCCCUGCCAUUAGUUGCUACGCAAGAGCACUCUAAUGGGACCGCUACCGACAAGGUGGAGGAAGGUGGGGACGACGUCAAAUCAUCAUGCCCCUUAUGACCUGGGCUACACACGUAAUACAAUGGCCGUUAACAGAGGGAAGCAAAGCGGUGACGCAGAGCAAAACCCUAAAAACGGUCCCAGUUCGGACUGUAGGCUGCAACCCGCCUACACGAAGUUGGAAUUGCUAGUAAUCGCGGAUCAGCAUGCCGCGGUGAAUACGUUCCCGGGCCUUGUAACACCGC